This 1534-nucleotide long non-coding RNA is filed under the name Gossypium barbadense (sea-island cotton). RNAcentral describes it as "long non-coding RNA (GBAR_LNC020515)". The record is from RNAcentral. Lineage: Eukaryota; Viridiplantae; Streptophyta; Magnoliopsida; Malvales; Malvaceae.
UUUGGUCCAUAGCUGGUUUCCUUAGCAGCUUGAAGAUUUGAUAUCUAUCCCAUCCUUUCCAAAUUAUUUCCAUAAUAUCUGUUUAGCUCUGAAUGCCUGAAUUAUUGCCAUGAGUAUCUAUUUGCCUGCAAAAUUCUGGAAUGUUAAAAGAUGUAGAUUUUAUCUUGGUAUGAAUGUUUUCCCCAGUUUAUUUAUCUCACUUUAUUGUUAUUAACUGAACCUGAAAUUUAAUUAUUCUAACUUCUGUCAGUAAGAUUUAACCCCUUUCUCUAAGAGAAUGUCUAUAAUGUUUACAGUAUUCUUUCAAUAUUUGUGAUGUGGCCUUCACAUGGCUAAUACCAGCAAAUUAUUCAGCUUUAUCUAAUUUUAGUUACUACUUUAGAUUUUAUUUGUUUGGUCAUUUGUUGUGAAAUUUUGAUACAGUAUGGUAGUCUAAAAAGUAAAACACACACAGGCACAAAUAUCGAUUGAGACCACAAUAGUGGUUAAUUGAUCUAAAUUGACGUUGGAAAAGAAUGCUAGGGUAUAUAGUUUUAGAGCCACUAAUAGAUAAUAGUCCACUGUAAUGCGGCUACCUAUGUCUCUCAAAAGCUUUGUAAAUUUUUCUUCCAAUAAAUAAAAAGAACGCUUUGAAUGAGGUAUAAGUUGCGUUGUAGAAUCUGUUUGUGCCACUUGUGAAGUUAUUCAGUCCUAUUCAUGGAUUGUGCUGGAAAUUUCUUUGCUUAAAUUUUUCAAAAUUUGAGAUUUGAGUUUUCCCCAACUAAGGGAGAAUGAAAAUAUGCCAGUUAAGAGAUUGAGUGAUCUUGGACUUUGUUUUAUAUCUUGCGGGUUAGAUUGUAACCUUUACAUAUAUUACACUAUUUUGUGUUAUUUAGUGUAUUUAUGUUAGUUUUGUAUUUUACUUCUUUUCCAUGAUAAGAUUCCAGGCUUAUUAGGGUUUUGGGUGUAGUUAUAAGUAAUUAAAUACUAAGCUGUUUCCGUUUCUAGUGUCUUUUUCAUGAUGGAUAUUUGAGAUUAUGAGAUGCUGAGGUUUGUGGUUUGUCCAAUAAUUUUUAUGGCUUUGUAACCCCUACCUGUAUUUCACCCCUGAUUUACUCAUAAUUGCUUCAUCCUCGCUAUCUUUGAUCUUUCUUCGAGGCUUCUAUUUUUAUGCUUAAAGAGAUGUGGCUCACGUUGUUAAGGUUGUGCUAUCAGAUAUGUGUAAACUUGGUGGGCUUGGUGUGAUUAUUCGGGAGCUCGAUCACCCUGACUCAGAUGUAAGGAAAUUAUCUGCAUGGAUACUUGGGAAAGCAAGUCAAAAUAAUCCAUAUGUACAGAAGCAGGUACAUCAUCUUCCCUUUGGCUUAUGAGCUAGGUAUAUUCGACAUCAACUAACUUGCAAAAAAUUACCUGUCUUAACUCUUAGGUCCUGGAACUUGGGGCAUUGGCAACAUUAAUGAAACUGGUGAAUUCUAGUUCCGCAGAUGAAGCCACUAAAGCAUUUUAUGCUGUUUCAGCCUUGAUCCGAAAUAAUGUGGCUGGUCAGCAAUUAUUC